Molecule: long non-coding RNA, 293 nt
Organism: Mizuhopecten yessoensis (Yesso scallop)
Lineage: Eukaryota; Metazoa; Mollusca; Bivalvia; Pectinida; Pectinidae
Exons: 4
Source: RefSeq, a predicted model, not a curated record
UUGUUCUUCGUUCCUGACGAAACACUACACAAUUAUAAACAAAUUGAGGGAAACGUACGGAACGCAACUUUCGACCUGAGCCUCUCAAAGGCUUACAUGGAUGGAGGUAUUGCCAAUGAAGCUUGGGAGGCUAGGGAAGAAAAGGGAGUCACACACGACGGGACCAUAAACGACCCCGAAGACCCAGGCAGUUUCUGGACAACAGAAUGGGCGUUACCUUUCCGAUCUCUGUCUGAAGGGUCUACAAGAAAUCAAUCUAAACCAUUUGAUGAUGAAGUUCACUUUAUGCAAUU